UAGAGGGUCCCACAAAGGUAGAUAGGUUUUCCAUGAUAUGGGGAAACCUGGGAGCAAUGUUGAACUUUGUAAAGGUGAUGAAAUCCUACUAACCAUAAAAAAUAUUAAGCUCUAUGAUGCAGGCACUCACACCCUCGGACUACAAAGGACGAGGACAGACAUGCUGGGUGUGUUUUCUAUUAAGGUACUGCCAAGACCAGAGGUAACCGGACACACUCCUCUACCACCACUGUGUUAAAAAUACCAUUCAGGUAAUUAAUGUUAGAGACUAUUCGGCUAUUGAUCAAUUAGGAACUGGGACUGGUUUUGAUUAUGGGAGAUUGCCUGAAGCUGAUUGCAGUAGUAACAUAACCAUUAAUUCCACUUGGCCAGUUACAGGCCUAAACCAAACUAGUGGUCUGGCUGAUGUGAGGUGGAUGUGUGGAGCCAAAAAGAGUGCUGAGACCCAUUCUUAGAGGAGAAUGGCAAGGUACGUGUGGUCUGACCAGUUUGAUAAUUCCACUGACCAUUGUUGAUGUACUGCUGAACAGCUGUUGGGUUCUGUAUCCAGGGGACCUGAAAACAUUCCAUCCCAUGGGAGACAUAGACGUAGUGCUCCAUGGACAGAGGAUGUAGUUGACAUACACUAACCUGUUGGGAGUGCCAGUGGGGGUUCGUCAUGAGUUUCAGGCCUUGGGUAGGAAUGAUGGACUCUGGCACUUACUACCUAUUAUGGGUCCAGCCAUGGUGGAUGCUAGACAGACUGCUUGGAUUAAUUAUAUCUACUAUAAUCAACAGCGUUUGGUGAAUUACUCCCGUGAUGCACUCACUGGUAUGUCUGAACAGCUUGAGGCCACAUUUGGGGUUUCCAGACAGAAUAGACUUGCCUUGGACAUGCUUCUUGCCAGUCAGGGGGACGUCUGCAAGAUGUUCGGUAAACAACGUAUAUUCCUAAUAAUACCAGUCCAGAUGGUGGUAUAUCUAAGGCGGGCUUGAUGCACUAUCUGCUAAGAUGAGGUCCACAGAGGGGGUGGAGGAGUCUGUUCUCUUGGCCUGGUUUGGUAAGUACACUGGUAUGAUGGUUACUGGAUUUCUGACCCUAAUUCUUGUAUUAUUUGUUAUUGAUGUGAUAUGCCGCUUGCAUCAUACUGUGUUUUAAGAAGUCUGUUACAGAUGUGAUGAAGGCUUCAGGGAGGAUGGGACUGACUGAGGAUGACACAUGGUAUGCUGUGGGUGAGGUAGUAGAAUGAUUUUACACCACCACAGUUCCUUGUUAUACAUUUUUAUGAUAGGUUUUCUUUCCAGUAUGUUUGUUCUCCCUGUUGUGAAGGUUUGGAGUCCCUGGGUGGCAAGGAGCCCACCUGGUACAGGAUAGGAGUAGCUGAGAGGACCAGAUGGUUUCUAAUAAUUCUUUACUCUGUUUUCCAUGACCAAAGUUUUAUCCUACAUCUUACAUGUCAAUAACAAUAAAGUUUUAUCCUGUUUUUGAUAAGUGACACCCUUGCGGGUGACAAAAGGGGGAAACAAAAGCAUACAACAAAGGCACAUAUCACUUGUUAUUAAUAAUACACUUUUUAUUAUUUUCAUGAAAUGCUAUGACUGCUGAAAUAAAGGAUAAUGAGUGACACCCUAGCGGGUGUCAAAAGGGGGACUUAAAUUUCACACUAUUUUCUUUUGUUCAGUUUUUGAAUGAGCUGUUCUCUUUUGACAUGAAGGUAGUUUAAACUUUAACUGUUAUAUGAUUCAUUGCUGAAAAUGUGUUCACACCCUUGGGGUUAUUUUACAUUAUAGCCAUUACCAUAUAUAAGAUUGAAUAUUAUCUGCUGUUGCCUUGUGUGGAGGUAUGUAUGUGUUAUGCUACCUAGCUGAUUUGAAACAUUGUUAAAAGUAUCAGGGCCAUGGGACUUUCUCAUGAUGGAAAAAUACAGAGUAGCAUGAAGACUAACUGUUCAAAUGAGUUAGAAGGGAGGGAACAUUCAGAGCGGGGUGUUGCGAGAACAAGCGGUCUUUUGUUAGAUAACAGGAGCCAGGUGGGAGAUAACGGUAUGGAGCAUGAGACCCAUCUUUCAGUUUUUGCAGCCAUUUUAGUAGGGGGAUCCAGUUGCUUAUAUUGAUUAAGCUUCUCCAUUGUAUGUCGUGUCCCAUCUGGGAUGGGAAGAGGGGGCAUUGCGGUCUUUGUGGGCCAUUUCCGUAUAGACUUACCUAGUAUAGGCUAUUUUUCCUUUUUGGAUUAUGUUUUCAUUUUUGCUUGUAGUAAUGUAUCUGGACUAUAUCACAUCUCUUAGGAGAUGUGAAGAGAGGGUAUCACAACUUUUUCCGGCUGGAAAAAGUUGGCUUAUGUAGAAUAUCAUUUUUCCUUUUAUUUUGAGCUGUUGAUCUCCGCUCUGUUACAUGAGGGUUGUAAGUUCCUAGGUGGCUGGUAGCCAACUUAGUACAUAGUGGGAUUGAGUUGGGAACAUGGUGGGAAUACAUAUACAUCCAUUUCUUUUUAAUGUUGUGCCUUAUUUCAUAGCCCCUUUGGGAAAAGUUUUCUUUUGUAUCAGAAUCUAGUUAGGUUGUGUCACGUCUCUGGGGAGACGUGAAGAGAGGGAUUUGUAGAGGACUGCUAAUUCUUAUGUAGGUGACAUUACACUACUAUAGCUGGGACAACGUAUUUUCAUAGUAAAACAGGUUGGGCCCCAUACAGGAUAUUUCUCACACACACACUCAUUUAGAUCAUCCAGAACACUGUCACAACAGGAUACUCCUAGCCACAGGUGCUAGCCGGCAGUUCGGCCACAACUCCCCUGUAGAUAGGGACGCACACACAUUACACACGGACUCUUGAGGACAGGACAGGGACGCAUACGCUCUUACACACUGACCCCAGAAGACAGGGACGACGCACAUACAGUACACACAUAGCUGCCGAGGACACCCAGAUAAGACACCCACAGAUUGGCAGAAAGCCUAGACUUAGAGACAAACUAGCACACACACAUAAUCUCCCUCCCAGCCGAACAUUGUGUGACUGAAGAUAGCGCACACACCAGAUCUCCUUUCCAGCUGAACAUGGUGUGACGACCAAGAACAGGCAUGGCAGGAUUCUACGAUGACGGACAGACAACAGAGCCAAUGCCGGAUGACUACACCCCAGCCUGAUCCAAUCCGAAGAUCCGAUCUCCUAGAAAUCAACCUACUUUCUGUUGUGUAUAUGAAGCUUGUACUCACUGUUAGCAAGGGUCCUUUUUGCUAGUCUCUGAUGAGCUAACAGAGGGGCCCGUAUAUACGCUGUACCAGAUAUCUUUACUCUGAAUAAACCUGUCGCUUGUCGUACAAUCUACCACCUUGUCUGAAUCGAUCCUUAACCGGCUCACCCUUCUACAUAUCCUUUUAU
Long non-coding RNA from Oncorhynchus gorbuscha (pink salmon), 3355 nucleotides. RefSeq lists it as uncharacterized. NCBI's taxonomy places the organism in Eukaryota, Metazoa, Chordata, Actinopteri, Salmoniformes, Salmonidae. The transcript has 3 exons. The record is from RefSeq and is a predicted model, not a curated record.